Long non-coding RNA from Aethina tumida (small hive beetle), 525 nucleotides. RefSeq lists it as uncharacterized. The transcript is spliced from 3 exons. The record is from RefSeq and is a predicted model, not a curated record. NCBI's taxonomy places the organism in Eukaryota, Metazoa, Arthropoda, Insecta, Coleoptera, Nitidulidae.
AUUAUUAUAAUUUUACUGUCCGUAUUGACUCACUCCAUAUACAAACAUUUUAAAUACUUAUGUUUGGAGCUAUUUUAUACAUUGCGUAUUAUUUCACUAAAGUUUACCGUGGAGUAUGUUACAUACUGAAAAAAUAUGUUUUAAAACAAUUCCCAACAGAUACAAAUAUGGUUUUCAAUGAGAAAUGUCCAAUGUGCCACGAUAAUUUACAAAUCAUCAUUAGAUCGGCUUGCGGACAUGGUUAUUGCAUGAAGUGUUUAGAGCGUCUCACUUCCAUUCAACAGGAAGGACGCACUUGCCCCUUUUGCAGGGGUAAAAUAAUACAAUUAAAUAUAGUAGAGAAUAAGAAAUAUAAAAUGUUGAACAAGCGGAAAAAGGCCCAUUUGUUCCGCAGAUUUUUGAAGGUGGCGAAUCCGGAGUCCCAAAGCUCUCCACUGACUAGAUGGAUUCUUGGCGGCAACGUAAAUCACAUUUACAAUUUUUUUAUACGCAACUAGUGGUAAUAAAGACAUUGUUUACACAAAA